Molecule: ribosomal RNA, 502 nt
Filed under: uncultured bacterium
Lineage: Bacteria
Description: partial 16S ribosomal RNA
Rfam family: Bacterial small subunit ribosomal RNA
Source: RNAcentral
GAUGAACGCUAGCGGCAGGCUUAAUACAUGCAAGUCGAGGGGCAGCGCGGGUAGCAAUACCUGGCGGCGACCGGCAAACGGGUGCGGAACACGUACGCAACCUUCCCAUAACUGGUGAAUAGCCCUCCGAAAGGAGGAUUAAUACACCGUAACAUAACGAAGAGGCAUCUUUUUGUUAUUAUAGUAGCAAUACGGUUUUGGAUGGGCGUGCGCCUGAUUAGGUAGUUGGCGGGGUAACGGCCCACCAAGCCUGCGAUCAGUAACUGGUGUGAGAGCACGACCAGUCAAAGGGGCACUGAGACACGGGCCCGACUUCUACGGGAGGCAGCAGUAAGGAAUAUUGGUCAAUGGACGAAAGUCUGAACCAGCCAUGCCGCGUGAAGGAUUAAGGCCCUCUGGGUUGUAAACUUCUUUUAUCUGGGACGAAAAAAGGGCAUUCUUGCUCACUUGACGGUACCAGAGGAAUAAGCACCGGCUAACUCCGUGCCAGCAGCCGCGGUAA